This 400-nucleotide ribosomal RNA is filed under the name 2,4-D-degrading bacterium 023. RNAcentral's name for it is "bacterial SSU rRNA". It matches the Rfam family "Bacterial small subunit ribosomal RNA", at positions 84 to 479 of the family's 1533-position model. Lineage: Bacteria; Pseudomonadati; Pseudomonadota; Betaproteobacteria; Burkholderiales. The record is from RNAcentral.
UUGGUGGGCGAGUGGCGAACGGGUGAGUAAUAACAUCGGAACGUGCCCUGUAGUGGGGGAUAACUAGUCGAAAGAUUAGCUAAUACCGCAUACGACCUGAGGGUGAAAGCGGGGGACCGNAAGGCCUCGCGCUACAGGAGCGGCCGAUGUCUGAUUAGCUAGUUGGUGGGGUAAGAGCCUACCAAGGCGACGAUCAGUAGCUGGUCUGAGAGGACGAUCAGCCACACUGGGACUGAGACACGGCCCAGACUCCUACGGGAGGCAGCAGUGGGGAAUUUUGGACAAUGGGGGCAACCCUGAUCCAGCAAUGCCGCGUGUGUGAAGAAGGCCUUCGGGUUGUAAAGCACUUUUGUCCGGAAAGAAAUGGCCUGGGUGAAUACCCCGGGUNGAUGACGNUACC